GAUUUCUGGUUAAUUGUCCUAGCCCGCUCGCUUCGGUGGGUGAGUGCUGGUACAACUAGCCAUCCUUCCAGAGAGCCGUGAGUACCCUUCACUGGGCCGCUCGCGUUUGCGAUCUGGAUCUUUUACUUUGAAAAAAUUAGAGUGUUUAAAGCAGGCUUACGCCUUGAAUACAUUAGCAUGGAAUAAUAACAUAGGACUUCGGUUCUAUUUUGUUGGUUUCUAGGACCUUAGUAAUGAUUGAUAGGGAUAGUUGGGGGUGCUAGUAUUCAGCGGCCAGAGGUGAAAUUCUUGGAUUCGCUGAAGACUAACUACUGCGAAAGCAUU
RNAcentral lists this ribosomal RNA (324 nucleotides) under Paulinella sp. Its description in RNAcentral is "SSU rRNA". The stretch from base 106 to 324 matches the Rfam family "Eukaryotic small subunit ribosomal RNA", at positions 735 to 955 of the family's 1831-position model. Lineage: Eukaryota; Cercozoa; Imbricatea; Euglyphida; Paulinellidae. The record is from RNAcentral.